AUUGAACGCUGGCGGCAGGCCUAACACAUGCAAGUCGAGCGGAUGAAGGGAGCUUGCUCCUGGAUUCAGCGGCGGACGGGUGAGUAAUGCCUAGGAAUCUGCCUGGCAGUGGGGGAUAACGUCCGGAAACGGGCGCUAAUACCGCAUACGUCCUGAGGGAGAAAGUGGGGGAUCUUCGGACCUCACGCUAUCAGAUGAGCCUAGGUCGGAUUAGCUAGUUGGUGGGGUAAAGGCCUACCAAGGCGACGAUCCGUAACUGGUCUGAGAGGAUGAUCAGUCACACUGGAACUGAGACACGGUCCAGACUCCUACGGGAGGCAGCAGUGGGGAAUAUUAGACAAUGGGCGAAAGCCUGAUCCAGCCAUGCCGCGUGUGUGAAGAAGGUCUUCGGAUUGUAAAGCACUUUAAGUUGGGAGGAAGGGCAGUAAGUUAAUACCUUGCUGUUUUGACGUUACCAACAGAAUAAGCACCGGCUAACUUCGUG
This 484-nucleotide ribosomal RNA is filed under the name uncultured bacterium. Its description in RNAcentral is "partial 16S ribosomal RNA". It matches the Rfam family "Bacterial small subunit ribosomal RNA", at positions 30 to 507 of the family's 1533-position model. The record is from RNAcentral.